AACGAACGCUGGCGGCGCGCCUAAUACAUGCAAGUCGAGCGAGAAGACGUAGCAAUACGUUUGUAAAGCGGCGAACGGGUGAGGAAUACAUGGGUAACCUACCCUCGAGUGGGGAAUAACUAGCCGAAAGGUUAGCUAAUACCGCGUACGCUCCUUGGACUUCGGUUCAGGGAGGAAAGCGAUACCGUGGGUAUCGCGCUCUCGGAUGGGCUCAUGUCCUAUCAGCUUGUUGGUGAGGUAACGGCUCACCAAGGCUUCGACGGGUAGCUGGUCUGAGAGGACGAUCAGCCACACUGGCACUGCGACACGGGCCAGACUCCUACGGGAGCAGCAGUAAGGAAUAUUGCGCAAUGGGCGAAAGCCUGACGCAGCGACGCCGCGUGGGGGAUGAAGGUCUUCGGAUUGUAAACCCCUUUCGGGAGGGAAGAUGGAACGAGCAAUCGUUCGGACGGUACCUCCAG
This 461-nucleotide ribosomal RNA is filed under the name uncultured bacterium. Its description in RNAcentral is "bacterial SSU rRNA". It matches the Rfam family "Bacterial small subunit ribosomal RNA", at positions 29 to 484 of the family's 1533-position model. The record is from RNAcentral.